GGUGUUUGGAAUGAGGUUUGAUCCAAGAUCAUGACAUCACAUAUCUUCAAUUUCCUCUAUAUUUGUUUCUUGAUUUACCUUGAUAAAUUUAUUUAUCAUCACUUCAUGCAUGGGAUGGGACUGAUCUCGGACCAGGCUUCAUUCCUCACACC
This 152-nucleotide microRNA precursor is filed under the name Phaseolus vulgaris (common bean). RNAcentral describes it as "pre miRNA mir-166". It matches the Rfam family "mir-166 microRNA precursor family". Rfam says of the family: This family represents the plant microRNA (miRNA) precursor mir-166. The record is from Rfam by way of RNAcentral. Lineage: Eukaryota; Viridiplantae; Streptophyta; Magnoliopsida; Fabales; Fabaceae.